GUCACGGGUCAGGAGGGCCAAGAAGCAGUGCGUGCGCCUUUCUCCGCUUCGGGCCUCGAUUCGUCGCAGGGAGAGGGAGGAGCAGACCCUAGGCACGCCGUGAUAGGACGUUGCCAAGCAAAAGUAAAUGAUGCCCGAGUCCGCAAGAGGAAAGGGGGAGUAGUGAUCAUUCCUACUCAGGCAGAAGCACUUGAUCCCAGAGUCACCAAAGGCUAUUAAGCUAGGGAGAGGCAGGAGUAAAGGAGCAACGUCGAGUCUGAUGAAGGGAGAAGACUUGGAAGGUAGAAUAUCGGUGCUGGAAUAGAGAAGCCCCUAAGCCAAGCUUUCUCGUUUUACAGCUAGCAUUUCUAAUGGAAUAGUGAAUAACAGUGGUGAUGAUGGACAUCCAUUUUUCACCCCUGAGCUGAUUGGAAAGGCUUCUAGUUUAUAUUCAUUACAGGUAAUGCUUGUUGAUAGUUUUAAAUAAAUACUACUUAUCAUUUAAGGAAAGCUCCAUUUGUUUUUAAUAGGAAUGAGUAUUGUAUAUUGUCAAAAACUUUUCCACAUCUAUUGAGAUAAUCACAUAAUUUUUGUCCUUUUUGUUAUUGGUAUGGUCACUUACGCUGAUAGUUUUCCUAACAUUGAACCAACCCUGCAUUCCUAGUAUACAAUCCCAUCUAGUCAUAAUGUCCUUGGCCAAUUAUAUUUUGAUACUCUUUGUGAUAGUUGAGGAUUCAUAUCCAAAAUUUCUUGUUUCUCCAGGAUUUUUUCUCUCUCAUCUUCUGAUUUUCCCACCAGGAAUAGGGAAGAAUAUAAGCACCAGCUUCCAGGUCAUGUGACCAACAAGACAGCCAACUAGACAUUUUCUCCAUUCUUCACUAAAUCUCACAAAGUGGGGUGGAGUUUGGGAGUGAGGUUCUGGAAUUUUGUGUCUGAGAUAAAACAAUUACACUGAAUCCACAGGACAAGAGAGCAAGAAGCCCAACAAAGGCUUGGGAAUGAAUACUAGAAAAUUCUAAUCCUUGAAAUGCUCAGAUAAGAAUAUAAUUCAAGAAAACUGUUCACAUCUUCUGAAUACAGAAAAUAAAGCAACUGAAAGAAUCUAUAGAGCUUCUUCA
This 1097-nucleotide long non-coding RNA is filed under the name Monodelphis domestica (gray short-tailed opossum). RNAcentral's name for it is "lncRNA (ENSMODG00000044639.1)". The record is from RNAcentral. Lineage: Eukaryota; Metazoa; Chordata; Mammalia; Didelphimorphia; Didelphidae.